This 253-nucleotide ribosomal RNA is filed under the name uncultured bacterium. RNAcentral's name for it is "partial 16S ribosomal RNA". It matches the Rfam family "Bacterial small subunit ribosomal RNA", at positions 524 to 776 of the family's 1533-position model. The record is from RNAcentral.
UACGUAGGGUGCGAGCGUUGUCCGGAAUUACUGGGCGUAAAGAGCUCGUAGGCGGUUUGUCGCGUCUGCUGUGAAAAUCCAGGGCUUAACCCUGGACCUGCAGUGGGUACGGGCAGACUGGAGUGCGGUAGGGGAGAUCGGAAUUCCUGGUGUAGCGGUGAAAUGCGCAGAUAUCAGGAGGAACACCGGUGGCGAAGGCGGGUCUCUGGGCAUUAACUGACGCUGAGGAGCGAAAGCAUGGGGAGCGAACAGG